GGUUUUCAACUUUGUUCUGUGGCGUGUGUUCUAGGAUUGCUCUGUGAAAAACAAAGCGUCUUCUGAAUUGAGACUGCCAGACACUGGGAAUGCCAGUUCAGGGGUGGAGAGAGGUGUGCUGCUUUUAGAUUUGGCUUAGUUUUGGGAAAGCCAAAGUACACCAGCCAUGAGAAGCUUUCAUCUUUGCCAUGCAGCACUGCAUUUGCGGUUGCUAUUGCCUUCUUUUCUGCAACAGCCUAGCAUCCUGCUCUUCACGUGGGAAUGACCUAGGCUAAAAUAUUGCAUUUGAGUUCAUAAGAAAAGAUAGCGCUGUAUAAAUUUGUCCAAAAUACUCCCUAUGUGAAGAGUUCUGCAUUAGAUCUAGUGAAUGGAGAAUAAUAGACAUUUCUAGGGGGCAGUACGUCCCAGCAGGGUACAUGAAAGAGAUCAGAAAUAGAAGACACGGGAGUACCACUCCAGGCACAAAACAUCACUUCAGCUAUGCGUAACUUGUUACGCAGUUUCAGUUACAUCCAGAAGACUCAACUAUGUCCGUGAGCUCACGCAGCACUAAAGAUGGUCUCCAUUCCAGGAACUGGGCCCCAUAAGUGAAACGUGUGCUAGCUGAUCUCAAACAAUCUGCUUGCUUACGGCUGCGAAUGAAGAACAACAUGCUUUCAGAUCCAACACAAACCAUGGUGUGCACCAACUCUCUCAAGACUCACCUGCAAGACCCAGAGCCUCGAACUUGGCAGUGGAGCCUCCUGUCAACAUCUGGUCCAAGCCAGGAGAGGAGCUCGUAUCCCUCAGCUGAUAGUGAUAAAUCUUC
RNAcentral lists this long non-coding RNA (808 nucleotides) under Numida meleagris (helmeted guineafowl). RNAcentral's name for it is "lncRNA (ENSNMEG00000004009.1)". Lineage: Eukaryota; Metazoa; Chordata; Aves; Galliformes; Numididae. The record is from RNAcentral.